RNAcentral lists this ribosomal RNA (518 nucleotides) under uncultured bacterium. Its description in RNAcentral is "partial 16S ribosomal RNA". It matches the Rfam family "Bacterial small subunit ribosomal RNA", at positions 28 to 523 of the family's 1533-position model. The record is from RNAcentral.
GACGAACGCUGGCGGCGUGCUUAACACAUGCAAGUCGAACGGAGAAUUUAUUUCGGUAAAUUCUUAGUGGCGAACGGGUGAGUAACGCGUGGGCAACCUGCCCUUCAGAUGGGGACAACAUCCCGCACGGGGUGCUAAUACCGAAUACGAUCACGCUGCCGCAUGGCGGGGUGAUGAAAGCUGGACCAUAUUUAUAAGCUACCGCUGAAGGUUGGUACUGCGUCUGAUUAGAUAGUUGGUGGGGUAACGGCCUACCAAGGCGAUGAUCAGUAGCCGGUCUGAGAGGAUGAACGGCCACAUUGGGACUGAGACACGGCCCAAACUCCUACGGGAGGCAGCAGUGGGGAAUAUUCCGCAAUGGACGAAAGUCUGACGGAGCAACGCCGCGUGAGUGAUGAAGGUUUUCGGACUGUAAAACUCUGUUGUUUAGGACGAAAGUGCCUGUUGCAAAUAGUUGCAGGUAUUGACGGUACUGAACGAGGAAGCCACGGCUAACUACGUGCCAGCCGCCGCGGUAA